UUGUUUACCAAAGAGAAUUCAAAGAAAGCUGCGUUAAAACCAAGUGUUCUAAGGGCAUGGAAGCCUAAGAGUUAUUUUAACCAAGAACCAUCAAUGUCAUUUGAAUCUUUAACAAAAAUCGCAGGUAAUGGCCCUUCCAUUCCCUCCGAUUUUUCCCUUUCCCUCCAAUUUUUGUCGUCCCUCCACUUUUUCCCUCCGCUUAUUUAUAUAUAUAGAAUAUUUGGUGUCUAAACUGCAUCAUUUUUCUGGGUCCAUUAACACUAUAUUCCACUUUCCCAUUUCAAUUUCAAUUAGCCCUACUUCAUCCGUCUCCCCUUACUGCUCUAUCUCUAUCUCUUAGCUGCAAGACUCCUGUACUCUGUCUCAAUCUCUACUGCUGAAUCUCCAUUUCUCAGCUGAAGCCUUUGAUUGAUGUUUGCUAACCCGCUCUAUCUCGAUCUCUCACUGCUCGAUCUCCAUCUCAGCUGCAAGACUCCUCUACCCUGUCUCGAUAUCUCACUGCUCAAUCUCCAUUUCUUAGCUGAAGCCCUUGAUUGAUGUUUGCUAACCCAUCUCUCUUUCGGCAUUAUCUUAUCUGAGAUUAUAAAGUUGAAGCCCUAGGCUUCUCUUCAGGCUGUCUCUCCUCUGUCUCGAUCUCUAACUAGCUACUCAAUCUCCAAGAGCUGUUAAUUUAUGUCAUUUCGAGAUCUUACUCACUAGAUUUUCCUCCCAAAACGUUCUCACUAAAGCCUCUCUUAGGUACCGCUUUGCUUCAUUUUAAUUUCUUCGUGGUUCGUUGUUUUAUUUCUCACUGAUCAUUCAUUUUACACAAUUUAGUUUCUCUCUGCAAUUUCUAAAGUUUCUUCAGACUUCCAACGAUAUAAUUUUUGUGGAUGUGAAGUGCCAGGGUUGCUUCAACAUGAUACGGUCAGUACCCGUUCCAAGGUUGAAGUUAGCAAUGUGGGACCACCAUCCGAACUCAUCUACUCUUACGAUCCAGUUCAGGGUAGAAGUUUUAUGUAUUACUUCAGUUUCAGUUUUUAUUUACUUUUGACGUUGAACUCUCAUGUUUAUAUUUAGGGAUCCUUGACAUAGGAUUUCCAAGUUGUACUGGAGUACUGUAUUAAAUAAAGGAUGGAUGGAUGUUGUAUUAUUUAGUGUUCCU
Long non-coding RNA from Cornus florida, 1144 nucleotides. RefSeq lists it as uncharacterized. NCBI's taxonomy places the organism in Eukaryota, Viridiplantae, Streptophyta, Magnoliopsida, Cornales, Cornaceae. The transcript has 3 exons. The record is from RefSeq and is a predicted model, not a curated record.